This 190-nucleotide ribosomal RNA is filed under the name Anaspides spinulae. RNAcentral describes it as "partial 16S ribosomal RNA". The stretch from base 94 to 190 matches the Rfam family "Bacterial large subunit ribosomal RNA", at positions 2473 to 2569 of the family's 2925-position model. Lineage: Eukaryota; Metazoa; Arthropoda; Malacostraca; Anaspidacea; Anaspididae. The record is from RNAcentral.
AAAAUAAAAAUUGUAACUGUUUAUUUAUUAAAAACUUUUAAUAAAAGAAAAAAUGAUCCUUUAAUAAAGAUUAAAAGAUUAAGUUACUUUAGGGAUAACAGCGUAAUCUUUUUUGAGAGUUCAUAUCGACAAAAAGACUUGCGACCUCGAUGUUGAAUUAAGAAAUCCUUUUGGUGCAGCAGUCAAAAAG